AACUCCUCUCACACGUUCGCUCUUACCCCAAAACCCUUCGCCCUCUUGCUGCUGCGCCGCCGCCGCACGCGAUUCCUCCUGCUCCCGUCGGCGGAAGCUAAUCCCCCACCAUCGCCUGCCUGCCGCGUGCGCCGAUCUCCAUCCUUGAGCAGCAGCGCGCGGGCGUCCUGCUGCUUCCGCCGCAUCCUCGCUCUCCGUUUGGGGUUGUUCAAGUGAAGCACCAUGUCCAGCGUUACCCCUGCUGCCGACGCGCAGCCACUCGAUGAGAAAGAGCUGGAGCGGAAGCUGAAGAAAGAUCAGAAGGCAAAAGAGAAAGAGGAAAAAAGGCUUAAGGCGAAGGCAAAGGAGGCGGCUAGGCUCCAGGCACAAGCAGCUUCAGAUGGACCUAAGAAAAGCGAGAAGAAGCAAAGGAAGAAAGCUGUGGAGGAUGAGAAUCCUGAGGAUUUCAUUGAUCCAGACACUCCUCAUGGGCAGAAGAAAUUUCUUGCAUCUCAAAUGGCCAAGCAGUAUAGCCCAACUGCUGUUGAGAAAUCAUGGUAUUCCUGGUGGGAAUCAUCAGGAUAUUUUGGGGCAGAUGCUGCAAGCUCAAAGCCACCAUUUGUUAUAGUUUUGCCACCUCCAAAUGUCACUGGAGCGCUUCAUAUAGGCCAUGCACUUACGGUGGCUAUAGAGGAUUCCAUGAUACGCUGGCGGAGGAUGUCAGGUUAUAACACUCUGUGGGUUCCAGGAGUUGACCAUGCAGGAAUCGCUACUCAGGUUGUAGUGGAGAAGAAGCUUAUGCGUGAAAGGAAUUUGACAAGGCAUGACAUAGGGCGUGAAGAAUUUGUAUCUGAAGUUCUCAAAUGGAAAGAUGAAUACGGGGGUACCAUAUUGAAUCAAUUGCGUAGGCUUGGGGCCUCACUUGAUUGGUCCCGCGAGUGUUUUACAAUGGAUAAACCAAGAUCAAAGGCUGUAACUGAAGCUUUUGUCAGGUUGUACAAACAAGGCCUGAUAUAUAGGGAUUAUCGCCUCGUGAAUUGGGAUUGCACCCUUCGAACAGCAAUUUCUGACGUAGAGGUUGAUUAUCUAGAGAUUAAAGAGGAAACUAUGUUAAAGGUUCCUGGUUAUAAUACAACUGUACAAUUCGGUGUGUUGAUCUCUUUUGCAUAUCCACUUGAGGAAGGAUUGGGUGAGAUUAUUGUCGCAACAACAAGAAUCGAAACAAUGCUUGGGGAUACAGCCAUUGCUGUUCACCCUGAGGAUGGCAGAUACAAGCAUCUGCAUGGUAGGUAUGCAAUCCAUCCCUUCAAUGGCCGAAAGCUCAAAAUAAUCUGUGAUGCUGAGUUAGUGGAUCCCACUUUCGGUACUGGGGCUGUCAAGAUUACACCUGCCCAUGAUCCAAAUGAUUUUGAGGUUGGAAAGCGACACAACCUUGAGUUCAUCAAUAUCUUCACAGAUGAUGGAAAAAUAAACAACAAUGGAGGUGCACAAUUUGUAGGAAUUCCAAGAUUUACUGCUCGAGUUGCUGUUAUUGAGGCACUGAAGGCAAAGGGCUUGUACAAGGAGACAAAGAAGAACGAAAUGAGUUUGGGUGUUUGUUCAAGAACUAAUGAUGUGGUGGAGCCUAUGAUAAAACCCCAAUGGUUUGUUAAUUGCAAUACCAUGGCACAAGCAGGUAUUGAUGCUGUAAGGUCCAAAAGAAUUGAGAUUAUUCCACAACAGUAUGAGCAAGACUGGUAUAGAUGGCUUGCAAAUAUACGUGAUUGGUGUAUUUCGAGGCAGCUUUGGUGGGGACAUCGCGUUCCUGCUUGGUAUGUUAUACUAGAAGAUGAUCAAGAGAAAAUUCUGGGUUCUGCUAAUGGCCGUUGGAUUGUUGCUAGAAACGAAAGUGAAGCAAACCUGGAGGCACAGCAAAAGUAUCCUGGGAAGAAAUUCGAGUUACAUCAAGAUCCUGAUGUGUUGGAUACAUGGUUUUCAUCUGGUCUCUUCCCAUUAACCGUACUUGGUUGGCCAGAUGAUACAGCUGACCUUAAAGCUUUCUACCCUGGUUCGGUGCUAGAAACUGGACAUGACAUUAUCUUCUUUUGGGUAGCACGGAUGGUGAUGAUGGGGAUGCAACUUGGUGGCGAUGUGCCAUUUGAGAAGGUUUAUUUGCACCCUAUGAUACGUGAUGCUCAUGGACGCAAAAUGUCCAAGUCGCUUGGUAAUGUCAUUGAUCCCGUUGAUGUGAUAAAUGGCAUUUCACUGGAUGGUCUCCUCAAACGUUUGAAAGAAGGCAAUCUAGAUCCAAAUGAAUUGAACAUUGCAACAGAAGGGAAGAAGAAGGAUUUUCCUGAUGGCAUUGCUGAAUGUGGUACCGAUGCUCUCCGUUUUGCACUGGUUUCUUACACUUCGCAGUCUGACAAGAUAAACCUGGAUAUCAAACGAGUUGUUGGAUAUCGACAGUGGUGCAAUAAAUUAUGGAAUGCCAUUCGUUUUGCAAUGGGCAAGCUUGGCAAUCAUUACACUCCCCCUGCAACUAUUUCUGUAACUACAAUGCCACCCAUAUGCAAAUGGAUAUUGUCAGUACUUAAUAAAGCUAUUGGCAAAACUGUCACCUCGUUAGAAGCAUACAAAUUUUCUGAUGCUACAUCUGCUAUAUACUCGUGGUGGCAGUACCAACUAUGUGAUGUGUUCAUAGAAGCUAUAAAGCCUUACUUCUUCAAUGACUCUCAAGAGUUUGAAUCAGCAAGAGCUGCCUCUAGAGAUGCCUUAUGGGUUUGCUUAGACACUGGUUUGCGCUUGCUCCACCCAUUCAUGCCUUAUGUUACAGAAGAGCUCUGGCAGCGUCUUCCUCAGCCUAAAGAUUCUUGUCGGAAAGAUUCCAUUAUGGUAUCAGAGUACCCAUCUGUUGUUAAGGAAUGGACGGAUGAUAAACUUGAAAAUGAGAUAGAUAUUGCCUUAGAUACUAUCAACAAACUAAGAUCUCUGAAGCCACCAUCUGAUACAAAUGAGAGACGACCUGCUUUUGCACUUUGCCGAGGCCAAGAGAUUACUGCCACCAUUCAGUGUUAUCAGUCUCUAGUUGUGUCUCUUUCUUCCACAUCAUCUCUAAAGAUCCUGACAGAGAAUGAUGAAACGCCACCUGACUGUGCAACAGCUGUUGUAAACAAAGAUUUGUCUGUAUACCUUCAACUCCAAGGAGCUCUCAAUGCAGAAGUUGAGCUUGAAAAGCUGAGGAAAAAGAGAGAAGAAAUUCAAAAGCUCCAACACGCACUGUCACAGAAAAUGGAAGCUUCUGGUUACAAAGAGAAGGCUCCACAGAAUGUCCAGGAGGAGGACAUGAGAAAACUCACUAGUUUUUUUGAACAGCUAGAGAUUAUCAGUGAAGCUGAAAAGAAGCUAGAUGCAAAAACUGGCAAUAAUUGACCCAGAAAUCUCUGAUGUGAUUUUGAAGAUGCACAUUUGUUGAAGUUUAUCUCAAAUUUUUUGCAUGGUUACCUUAAUCAUACCUGAAUGCCCAGCUGUCUAUGCUAUGGAAGAGAAGAAAUGCAGCAUUCAAAAGAGAUGCCUACCCGAUACAAUCUUCCUAUAGUAAAGUUGUUACUUCCUGCUUGUGGUAUUGUUAGCAAGUCCUGCAAGUCUCAAAUGACAAGACAGUGCUAAGCAACUUGUAUCAUAUCGUUGAUUUGCUGCUCUGCUUUCGGGGUUCCAGGGAUGUUACUUGUUUGGCAUGGCACCAGCUUCCAGGGAGUUGGAGCCCAGCGAGUCUAGGUUACUUCACAGCUCUUUAGAAAUUGGAGUUCUAUCAAACGGACUUAUUUUUCAGUGUUUUUUUUCCUUAGUGGAGAAUGCUUCAUGCUUAUUUUUAUUGUGGAAAACCGUUCUUGCUGCUUUUUUUUUUGUGAUUAUAUGUCACUGUUUUAACCAGUUUACUCCAUGACCUGACAAAACUGAACCGUGUGAGACCCAACAAAAUGUGUAAUUGAUUUGAACACGGUUAGCCCAUGAUG
Molecule: RNA transcript, 3971 nt
Organism: Oryza sativa Japonica Group (Japanese rice)
Lineage: Eukaryota; Viridiplantae; Streptophyta; Magnoliopsida; Poales; Poaceae
Gene name: valine--tRNA ligase, mitochondrial 1
Source: RefSeq, a predicted model, not a curated record